CAACCCUCAGGCCCCCAGUGCCUGGCGUUGGGGAUCGGCGCGGCGCCCUCCGGGGCGCUGCCGGCCCCGAAAUUCAGUGGCGGUCUCGCUGUAGCCCUCCUCCGCGUAGUAGCACAACCUCGCGGCCUGGAGCUCGGCGGUGGCCAUGCCGUAAAACACCCCACUUCUGAA
RNAcentral lists this unclassified non-coding RNA (171 nucleotides) under Myxospora crassiseta. RNAcentral describes it as "partial internal transcribed spacer 2". The record is from RNAcentral. RNAcentral also lists the same sequence under 1 other name. Lineage: Eukaryota; Fungi; Ascomycota; Sordariomycetes; Hypocreales; Stachybotryaceae.